This 712-nucleotide ribosomal RNA is filed under the name uncultured bacterium. RNAcentral describes it as "bacterial SSU rRNA". It matches the Rfam family "Bacterial small subunit ribosomal RNA", at positions 104 to 810 of the family's 1533-position model. The record is from RNAcentral.
GGGUGAGUAACACGUAUGCAACCUGGCCGUCACAGGUGGAUAACCGGAAGAAAUUCCGACUAAUACAGCAUAACACUCCUGAGGGACAUCCUUCGGGAGUCAAAGGAGGUAACUCCGGUGACGGAUGGGCAUGCGGCGCAUUAGGUAGUUGGUAGGGUAACGGCCUACCAAGCCGACGAUGCGUAGGGGUUCUGAGAGGAAGGUCCCCCACAUUGGAACUGAGACACGGUCCAAACUCCUACGGGAGGCAGCAGUGAGGAAUAUUGGUCAAUGGCCGGAAGGCUGAGCCAGCCAAGUCGCGUGAGGGAAUGAGGCCCUAUGGGUCGUAAACCUCUUUUGUCAGGGAGCAAAGGCGUCCACGUGUGGACGAGAGGAGAGUACCUGAAGAAAAAGCAUCGGCUAACUCCGUGCCAGCAGCCGCGGUAAUACGGAGGAUGCGAGCGUUAUCCGGAUUUAUUGGGUUUAAAGGGUGCGUAGGCGGAGUGUCAAGUCAGCGGUAAAAUUUCGGGGCUCAACCCCGUCGUGCCGUUGAAACUGACACCCUUGAGUGAGUGAGAAGUAAGCGGAAUGCGUGGUGUAGCGGUGAAAUGCAUAGAUAUCACGCAGAACGCCGAUUGCGAAGGCAGCUUACCGGCGCUCAACUGACGCUGAGGCACGAAAGUGCGGGUAUCGAACAGGAUUAGAUACCCUGGUAGUCCGCACAGUAAACGAU